RNAcentral lists this ribosomal RNA (783 nucleotides) under uncultured Neocallimastigales. RNAcentral's name for it is "partial large subunit ribosomal RNA". It matches the Rfam family "Eukaryotic large subunit ribosomal RNA", at positions 23 to 634 of the family's 3401-position model. Lineage: Eukaryota; Fungi; Neocallimastigomycota; Neocallimastigomycetes; Neocallimastigales. The record is from RNAcentral.
GAGACUCUGUGCGCGUGCAUAUCAAUAAGCGGAGGAAAAGAAACUAACAAGGAUUCCCUUAGUAACGGCGAGUGAAGCGGGAAGAGCUCAAAUUUGAAAUCUUCAAGGUUUUACCUUGACGAAUUGUAGUUUAUAGAAGUGUUUUCUGUUAGUAGAGUUUGGUAAAAGUUCUUUGGAAUAGGACAUCAUAGAGGGUGAGAAUCCCGUAUUUGAUCAUUAUUUCCUAGCUGUGUGAUACACUUUCAACGAGUCGGAUUGUUUGGGAAUGCAGUCCAAAAUGGGUGGUAAAUUUCAUCUAAAGCUAAAUAUUGGCGAGAGACCGAUAGCGAACAAGUACCGUGAGGGAAAGAUGAAAAGAACUUUGAAAAGAGAGUUAAACAGUACGUGAAAUUGUCAAAAGGGAAGCGUUUGACACCAGUGUUGUUUAGUUCGAAAAUCAAUUCAAGAAUGUUUUAUUUUGAGUAAGUAUUGACUUCAUCAGCUUGCUUCUUUCUUUCCUGAAACUUAUUGAAUGCACUUUUCAGGUUAACAAGUCAACAUCAAUUUCUUUUGUUGUAAAAGGGUAUGAGGAAGGUGGCUUUCUCUUCGGCGCAAGUGUUUAUAGCCUUGUAGCCUCUGCAAUCGGAGAGAUUGAGGUCUGCAGCGUAGAUCCUUCGGGGUUAGAUACAUUUGUGCUAAGCUAUAGCCUUGUAUAGACAACUUGUUGACUAUGCUUCAGUCAUGUAGCUUACUCGCUUAUGCUAUUUUACCUACGCUUAGGAUGUUGACAGCAGUAUAGACUGU